This 1332-nucleotide ribosomal RNA is filed under the name Mycobacterium sp. DWMJ-1770A3. RNAcentral's name for it is "bacterial SSU rRNA". It matches the Rfam family "Bacterial small subunit ribosomal RNA", at positions 81 to 1428 of the family's 1533-position model. The record is from RNAcentral. Lineage: Bacteria; Bacillati; Actinomycetota; Actinomycetes; Mycobacteriales; Mycobacteriaceae.
UUCGGGGUACUCGAGUGGCGAACGGGUGAGUAACACGUGGGUGAUCUGCCCUGCACUUUGGGAUAAGCCUGGGAAACUGGGUCUAAUACCGAAUAGGACCACGCGCUUCAUGGUGUGUGGUGGAAAGCUUUUGCGGUGUGGGAUGGGCCCGCGGCCUAUCAGCUUGUUGGUGGGGUAAUGGCCUACCAAGGCGACGACGGGUAGCCGGCCUGAGAGGGUGACCGGCCACACUGGGACUGAGAUACGGCCCAGACUCCUACGGGAGGCAGCAGUGGGGAAUAUUGCACAAUGGGCGCAAGCCUGAUGCACGACGCCGCGUGAGGGAUGACGGCCUUCGGGUUGUAAACCUCUUUCAAUAGGGACGAAGCGCAAGUGACGGUACCUAUAGAAGAAGCACCGGCCAACUACGUGCCAGCAGCCGCGGUAAUACGUAGGGUGCGAGCGUUGUCCGGAAUUACUGGGCGUAAAGAGCUCGUAGGUGGUUUGUCGCGUUGUUCGUGAAAACUCACAGCUUAACUGUGGGCGUGCGGGCGAUACGGGCAGACUAGAGUACUGCAGGGGAGACUGGAAUUCCUGGUGUAGCGGUGGAAUGCGCAGAUAUCAGGAGGAACACCGGUGGCGAAGGCGGGUCUCUGGGCAGUAACUGACGCUGAGGAGCGAAAGCGUGGGGAGCGAACAGGAUUAGAUACCCUGGUAGUCCACGCCGUAAACGGUGGGUACUAGGUGUGGGUUCCUUCCUUGGGAUCCGUGCCGUAGCUAACGCAUUAAGUACCCCGCCUGGGGAGUACGGCCGCAAGGCUAAAACUCAAAGGAAUUGACGGGGGCCCCACAAGCGGCGGAGCAUGUGGAUUAAUUCGAUGCAACGCGAAGAACCUUACCUGGGUUUGACAUGCACAGGACGCCGGCAGAGAUGUCGGUUCCCUUGUGGCCUGUGUGCAGGUGGUGCAUGGCUGUCGUCAGCUCGUGUCGUGAGAUGUUGGGUUAAGUCCCGCAACGAGCGCAACCCUUGUCCUAUGUUGCCAGCGGGUUAUGCCGGGGACUCGUAGGAGACUGCCGGGGUCAACUCGGAGGAAGGUGGGGAUGACGUCAAGUCAUCAUGCCCCUUAUGUCCAGGGCUUCACACAUGCUACAAUGGCCGGUACAAAGGGCUGCGAUGCCGUGAGGUGGAGCGAAUCCUUUCAAAGCCGGUCUCAGUUCGGAUCGGGGUCUGCAACUCGACCCCGUGAAGUCGGAGUCGCUAGUAAUCGCAGAUCAGCAACGCUGCGGUGAAUACGUUCCCGGGCCUUGUACACACCGCCCGUCACGUCAUGAAAGUCGGUAACACCCGAAGCC